RNAcentral lists this ribosomal RNA (446 nucleotides) under uncultured bacterium. RNAcentral's name for it is "SSU rRNA". It matches the Rfam family "Bacterial small subunit ribosomal RNA", at positions 26 to 518 of the family's 1533-position model. The record is from RNAcentral.
AGAACGAACGCUGGCGGCAGGCCUAAUACAUGCAAGUCGAACGGAUCCUUCGGGAUUAGUGGCGGACGGGUGAGUAACACGUGGGAACGUACCCUUUGGUUCGGAACAACUCAGGGAAACUUGAGCUAAUACCGAAUGUGCCCUUCGGGGAAAAGAUUUAUCGCCAUUGGAGCGGCCCGCGUCUGAUUAGCUAGUUGGUAGGGUAAAGGCCUACCAAGGCUACGAUCAGUAGCUGGUCUGAGAGGAUGAUCAGCCACACUGGGACUGAGACACGGCCCAGACUCCUACGGGAGGCAGCAGUAGGGAAUCUUGCGCAAUGGGCGAAAGCCUGACGCAGCCAUGCCGCGUGAAUGAUGAAGGUCUUAGGAUUGUAAAAUUCUUUCAGCGGGGACGAUAAUGACGGUACCCGCAGAAGAAGCCCCGGCUAACUUCGCGCCAGCAGCCGC